UAGGGAAUCUUCGGCAAUGGACGAAAGUCUGACCGAGCAACGCCGCGUGAGUGAAGAAGGUUUUCGGAUCGUAAAACUCUGUUGUUAGAGAAGAACAAGGACGUUAGUAACUGAACGUCCCCUGACGGUAUCUAACCAGAAAGCCACGGCUAACUACGUGCCAGCAGCCGCGGUAAUACGUAGGUGGCAAGCGUUGUCCGGAUUUAUUGGGCGUAAAGCGAGCGCAGGCGGUUUCUUAAGUCUGAUGUGAAAGCCCCGGCUCAACCGGGGAGGGUCAUUGGAAACUGGGAGACUUGAGUGCAGAAGAGGAGAGUGGAAUUCCAUGUGUAGCGGUGAAAUGCGUAGAUAUAUGGAGGAACACCAGUGGCGAAGGCGGCUCUCUGGUCUGUAACUGACGCUGAGGCGCGAAAGCGUGGGGAGCAAACAGG
RNAcentral lists this ribosomal RNA (428 nucleotides) under Gemmatimonadota bacterium. Its description in RNAcentral is "Gemmatimonadetes bacterium partial 16S ribosomal RNA". It matches the Rfam family "Bacterial small subunit ribosomal RNA", at positions 355 to 776 of the family's 1533-position model. The record is from RNAcentral. Lineage: Bacteria; Pseudomonadati; Gemmatimonadota.